RNAcentral lists this long non-coding RNA (2119 nucleotides) under Nicotiana benthamiana. RNAcentral describes it as "long non-coding RNA (NBEN_LNC033562)". The record is from RNAcentral. Lineage: Eukaryota; Viridiplantae; Streptophyta; Magnoliopsida; Solanales; Solanaceae.
UUCACUAUUCAUCGUCUCUUUUGAUCAGAGACGAACCAGCCCAAACCCUAGCUAGCCGCCACCCGUUCCCUUCGCCUGAAACCCGACGUUGGCAACAGCGGCAACCACCAAAAUGACAUCCCUUGACCAUCUAACCACCCCCAAUCCAAAUCCAUUAACCAUUUGCCUCGAAUCAGUCCCCAACUCCUCGAAUCUUAAAUCGAAUGUUUUCCUGGAAAUAUCACCCUCUCCAAUGGCAACCAUAUUAACACCCUAAAACCAGCGGACCACCCUCAACCCAAAUCCCUUACCCGUUUGGCUCGAAUCAGCUUGUAGCUUCUCGAAUCUUCAUUUGAAGAUUCGAGCCGAACUUGGACCUGACCCAAUCGAGCCCAAACUCACACCGGGUAUCUCCAUGACCUUCCUCUUUACAGGACCACCGUUGGUUUAGUUCGAAUCGAGCUACAACCGCUCAAGCCCCAAGUCAGGCCCCAAGAACCCUAGAAAUUCCAAACUUGGAAUCUGUCCAAGUUGAAGUUAUUUUGGGAGUCCAAUAGACCUUAGUCGAAGUGUUCUCGAUUGAGAACACUCGAUCAAGGUCCGUUCGAACUCAAAAGUUCGAGUCCAAGUCCGAGUUUGGUCCUGAUUUCAUCCAGAAUUUUAAUGGCAGAGGUAAUUUUCCUUUCUUUUGUUCUCCCUCUAUCCGUUACUUUUGUUAGUUUGAAUUGUUUUCAGUUUUGUUCAUCACUAGUCUUCUUCUUCUCAAAACAGACCCCUUUAUUUGGUCGAGUUUAUUUCUGUUCAUCGUUUAUGUAUACAUUAUGGGCUAUAUAAUCGUUUAAUUAUUUUCGUCGACUAAUUAGGUUCCUGUUAAUCCUUGCUCCUGUUAAAUUCCACUCGUAUCCCUGUUUGACGGUUUACCUAUUUCUGAUUGUUCAUUACCAAUUGUAACAUGUAGUCGAUUAAUUGAGUUUCAUCGAUUAGUUUGUUCGUAUGUAUGUGAAACAUUUAGCAUUCAGUUGGUUCUGGUGUCAAUAUAGUUUGACACCUGUUAAUGUAGUAAUUCAAAUCACAGUUGGCAUUUGGAUUGUUUGUAGCUUUCUAAUUGUUAGUGUCUUAUUAAUUGAGAUUCUGUUUGAUUAUACGCUUUGUUUUGAAUCGCUGAUUAUCUUGUCUUCAGUAUAAGAGCGUAAAAGUAAAAGGAAAUGGGCUGAAAAAAGGAGACUGCCUUUGAUAUAAAUACAGGUCAUUUGGGACUAAGAAAAGGAGAAGUUUUUUUAAAGUCUAAGAGAGAUUCAAAAAAAGAAACAGAACAAAAAUCUCAAUGUUUUGAUAACUUCUUUGAGAGAGAGUCUUUUGAAAAUCAGAAAGGUUAAAAGAAUUUUCAGAGAAAUAGAUAGAGGGUGAGGGUUGAAAGUUGAACUAAAUUUCCAGAAUUAAAGAGCGACUUUAAGCUGAGUUUUUACUUAAAAGUUUCAGUUGGUUUUCUUUGAGUGUUGGCAAUCAGAAACACUAUUUUCUUGCAUUUGUCUCACUCUAAACUUAACUAUUAGUGCAUUCGUGAGUGUUACUGGAUUUGUGGUGUGCAAGUUCUUGGGUUUUUCUGUUGGUUUUUUGCCUCUGAUAUUGUUGUUAUUCAACUGGUCUUGUUGAGUUUUCCUAUUGGUAUUCAAGUACUGUUGCAUUUGUGCAUGGAUUCCUUCUGUUUGAUUCUCCAAUCAUUCCUGGGAUUCUUGCUAUUGCUGUUGUUGCUGAAAUUUCUGUAGCUAUGUUGUGUUACUGCCGCUUACUACUAAAUACUAAUCUUCCUCUUUCUUUUGUUUCAAAAUACCAGGUACACACAUCUGUUACACUGGUUCAAUGUAGCUGAAGUUUAAAGCAUGAAUAAAAUGAAACCUUAGAGCUUAGAGUUUAUUUAGUUGUUUUGUAGCUUAUGUUGUAUACAUUUUAAUUAGUAGCUUUCGUUAGAAUCAUGUAAAGUAUUUGGUAUGUAUAACUAAGUAUAGAUCUGCAAUAGUUUAGAUGGUAUACCCUCUCUCGCAUGCUAGUUUAAAAUGACAUAGUAAUUCGUUUUCUGCCAUUUCAGUUCAUUUUAUUUAAAAUCAUGAACAAGCCUUAGUUAAUUAAUACAUAGUUAGUU